CAUGCCCCUGGCCCUGGUUCUCUGGCCAGGCUCUGGGCACGCAGCUUCCUGUGUGACAGACGUGUUCCAUGUUGAAGUUAAGCCAUUUGAUGAGGGGCUCACUAUACAUUUGGGCAGGAAGGAAGAACGUGCUCAUAAAACUGGUGCUGCCCGGGAAGAGGGAACUUUCCCCAAAUCUUGUGGCCACGGUCUAGAGCAGGAGCCUGACAUUUGACGGCUGGGAUAUCAGCCCCAGCCUGGCUCUCCAGCCCUGGGCAAAGCAUCCACUUCUCUGAGCUUCCAGUUUCCUCAUCUGUCAGAUGAGGGUCACAUAAGCAGUUAAUCUGUGGGCUGUUUUGAAGAUUGAGAGGUAAUACAUGCAAAAGUCACAGAAUUUUGUCUUGCAUAGAGUAAAUGAUCAAUAAAUGUGAGCAAAAAAAUCAGGAGAAGGAGGUUAGAUGAGCAUGAGAGACUACAGAGUUUACAGAAAGCUCUCUUAGACCCAAGAUCCUGGCCCCAUCUGGCUUCUCCCACACAUCUGUUCCACACAUUUCCCCAAAGUUCCAUCCCUGUCCUGACAACACAGACCAGGAAAUUCAGAUUCACAGAAAACCAAUAAUUUAAUCUAAGUCCUCUUGCUGGACAGUAAGCCAGUAAAAUCCUAAAUGGACUCAAAAGUUUAUCAGAUUUGAUAGCGUUCCUUGGCUUGGGGCAGAGGCCAUCCCUCCUAGGUAGUUCAGGCCUUUAUCACCCCAGGCCUACAUACUUGCGAAAGACUCGUUUCUUAACCUGUUUUUCUGUGCACAGUUGCCAGAUUGGUUUUGGCAGAGGCAGCUUCUCCCUUAUCAAUUUCAGGUGUUUAAAAGUUGGCAGCAACUCCUCCGUCCUAAGCCUAGAGGUAAUCUGCAGUUUGUCCCCAACUCAGUUUCACCCCUUUCCCACAGUUUUUGCCUGCAGAGGAGGAAUUAUAAAGAGCUUUUGUGAUUGAGAAGAGGAGGGUGUUCAAUAGUCACAUAUUUCUGCACAGACUUGACCUUUCACUGUAGCUUUCUCCACAGCAGGGUCUGGUCCUUGGCGCACAGCGUGUUCUGUACGUGCUGACUCAGGGGACAGAAACACAGAGGCUGCGGCCGCCACGUGAUCCUUAGACUUCUGUACCAAGUCUGUGAGGGAAGCUCUUGUGAGCAAGCUAAUGUUUCUUUCCUGAGUAGCAGGUCAGUUAGCCUGUUCAAGUCUAGUUGGCUCACAGACAGUUGCAGAAUUCUUUCUGGGCUCUCGGGAUGGGAAGGGAAGGGUUCUCAGCCCCUUGGCAUGACGACGCAAGUAACGGGUUUGAAAGGCCUCCUGGGGUCUGUAAGAUACCUGGCCCCAGUUAUCAAGUUAAAACUCAGGGCCUUGGAUCUAGUAUGUAAAUUUAUUUAUUUUUCACAAUUGCAGACAAAUUUAUAUAUUACUAUUAUUUUUGAGGGAGAGUCUUGUUCGGUUGCCCAGGCUGUAGUGCAGUGGUGUGAUCAUAGCUCACUGCAGCCUCAGCCUCCUGGUCUCAGGAGAUCUCCCGCCUCAGCCUCCUGAGUAGCUGGGACUACCUGGGCAUGCGCCACCACACUGGGCUAAUUUUUUAAAUUUUUAGUUGACAUGGGGGGGGGGGUCUCACUAUGUUGCCCAGGCUAGUCUUGAACUUCUGCGCUCAAGUGAUCCUCCCGCCUCAGCCUCCCAAAGUGCUAGGAUUACAGGUGUGAGCCACUGCACCUGGCCUAAAUUUGUAUUUUGUGCAAGCCAGUGAUCCAUUUGUUUCCUGAUAAAAAUGUGAUGAAGUCAGAGACUGUUAUAGAACCAUGAGCUAUGGGGCAAGUCUGUAGUGAAAUUAAGUAAAGGGGAGGGAAUAAUUGGAAUGCCGAUGGCCAUGUCUGAGCAUCGAGAUCAACCACAAAUCAUUCUCACAAGCACAUGUCAAUUUGUGAUAUAUUAUUAGAUCUGAAAAAAAAAAAGAGAUCAUGUUGUAACUGAGUAGAUCAGAGUGAUUCGCUUUGAUCAGAUAUUCCAAUCUUGCCGGAUCAUUAUAAAGCCAACCUGAAUUUACACAAAGAUUUUCUUCCUACUGUGCUCAAAACACAGAUAUAUAUUCCCCCGCCUGUGAUCCUCCCAGUGACCCGAUGAGGUAGGCAGAGAACAACAUAAUCUCUGCCUCUUAAAUAAGCUAAUUGCGCUUGAAAGUACUUUUAGCACUUUAGAACAUAAAUAAUAUUCCAGGGCAGAGUUAGCUCCCCUUUCUUUCUCUGAAAUUCAGAAUGGUACAGUAGAGCUGCCAGGACUACUGAGUAACACGACAGUGUGAAAAACGAAAGACAAACAGCUCAAAGUCUUGGGCCAGGGCCGUUUUUCCAGCAUUUUCUGCUUUGCCCUCUACUUUCAUAUAGUUUAGAAUUUAUUUUAGAAUGCACAGAAUACAUUUCUAUAUAUUUGUGGUCACCUUUUCCCCACAUCUUGGAAAUAGCAGCAAUAGACAAUAUUGAACACAGAAACUACUGAUAAAUGCAAAAAAGGUUAAUUAAUUAAUAUAGUUGUCCCACCGUAUUCCUGGGGGAUUGGUUCCAGGACCCCGGGUGAUCCUAAAAUCCACAGAUGCUCAAGUCCCUGAUACUAAAUGGUGCAGUAUUUGCGUAUAACCCCUGCACAACCUUUGGUAUCCUUUAAAUCAUCUCUAUAUUACUUAUCAUAUCUAACACAAUGUAAGGCUAUGUAAAUAGUUGUUAUACUUUAUUGUUUAGGGAACAAUGACAAGAAAAAAUUUCUGUAUAUGUUCAGUACAGGCAUAUUUUCCCCCCAAGUAUUUCAGAUCUGCAUUUUGCCAAAUCCACAGAUGUGGAGCCCCCGGCCAGCAGGGCUGACCAGCAGGGCCGAGUGUCCUGCGAGUGCCUGGCUCAGCACAGCAUAAGCACUGAGUCAAGGAGCUCAUGGGUUUGAGGGCUCAUUCAUUCAGAAGCUGAGAACUUUCUUUGGACCAAAUUGCUGCUGGUGAUAAUGGGAGGCCAGCAAAGAGGGUAUGAGGGAGAGUGAAAAUCUCAGGACAGUGAAAAUCCAGCACCUCAGGGGGUGGGGGGCAAGGGGAGGGAGAGCAUUAGGAUAAAUACCUAAUGCAUGCGGGGUUUAAAACCUAGAUGACGGGUUGAUAGGUGCAGCAAACCACCAUGGCACAUGUCUACCUAUGUAACAAACCUGCACUGUCUGCACAUGUAUCCCAGAACUUAAAGUAAAAUUAAAAAAAUAGAAAGAAAAGAAAAUCCAGUGCCUGCCUGGCAUGAUGACAGGCAGCUAAGCUGAGGGCAGAAGAGGCGGAGAUCAGCUCCGGGCUCAGGAACAUGGGGAGCCGGGAAGACAGAGGGAGGAGGGAAGGAGCUCUCCCGAUGGGACUAGCACUCCUGGAAAACAACAUUUUUUUUGCAUUGAUGUCGUGGCUGUUUUUGGAAGGAUUCGAACUCUGCUUGGAAUGGCAAGGUCUCCACCAGUACUGAUGCUUUAAGGUUUUGCUAACGAUGACAAUGCAUUAUUUAGAUAGGUGAUUUUCCAUAUUAAAAAAAAAAGGUUCCUAGAUUCGAAUAGCAUCUACCUUACAGACAUGGUCCUGAGACCCUGGGAGAGGUGCAGCUGGCCAACACGCUGUGUCCCCACAGGGAACGAGCAUGGAAGGGUUAAGCAGCAGCGUUCCCUGCCCAGAAGAAGCAGUGUUCUGUAGCAAGUAUUUUAAAUUCAGCUGCUAGAGCAGGAGAGGAGACAGAGAUGGAGGCUUCUGGGCCAGAUGCUAGAAUCAGUAUGGUUCAGUGGCUGAAGAGGUCAGCAGGUGACACAAGUGAGAGGGACACAGGACGAUACCACUAACUGGCCUGAAUGUUAAAGGAGCAAUGGGGUUCUACACGGUGAAUGGGGAUAAUUGUUAGGAAGUGGCAUUGGGGAGCAUGGGGAUUCCAGAAGAACCCUUUCCAAUCUCUCCCCAUAGCAGUUAUUAGCCAGUCUUAGCAUAGAACAUCAUGUCUUCUCAUGCUUUUGCUGAAUGUUGUUAGUUGCUGGGUGUUGAGUCAGUGUGGCACGUUGAAAGGAGCACGGGGUUGGGAUCAGGACUCCUGAGUUCAAGUUCUGUCUGUGCCUGUCUUGGUUGCUUAAUGACCUUAUGUAAAUUCCUAUUCUUGUCAGGUAUCAGAUUCCUCAUUUGUAAAAAUGGGUCUAAUAAUGCUGCCCCAUGACCAUUGAUGUGGAGACGAUUUAUGAACUGCAAAAUCUGACACAAUCUACAACUUUGUGUUGUUAGUUCCUCGGGGACAAGAACUAUUUGGAACCACACCAAAGCAUUAGUGAUUAUUAGAGGCAUUUCAUAAACACAUUUUUAUCAUAAUGAUGUUGAUACCGAAAGCUAGUGCUUUUGCCAGAAGUGUUAAUAAAAAUUGUUGGUAGCCAGUUCUCCAAGACCCUCUCCCAAGGUGUCAUAGUUCUUACGAACAUUAUAAUAUGAGACUAUUGAUUUUUUUUUUUUUUUUGAGAUGGAUUCUCGCUGUCACCCAGGCUGGAGUGCAGUGGCGCCAUCUCGGCUCACUGCAAGCUCCGCCUCCCAGGUUCACGCCAUUCUCCUGCCUCAGCCUCCCGAGUAGCUGGGACUACAAGCGCCUGCCACCAUUGCCGGCUAAUUUUUUGUAUUUUUAGUAGAGACAGGGUUUCACCGUGUUAGCCAGGAUGGUUUCGAUCUCCUGACCUCGUGAUCUGCUCGUCUCGGCCUCCCAAAGUGCUGGGAUUAUAGGCGUGAGCCACUGCGCCCGGCGAGAAUAUUGAUUUUAAUGAGGAUGUCACCCAAAUCAAGCAGAUCCCUAAUCAUAAAAAUAAGCAAAGAAAUGCAAAAAUUAACACCCUGAAAUCUUGCUUUAAGCCCAUCUAAAGGAGUCUGCUGGAAGGUAUAUUCCACAAUG
Molecule: long non-coding RNA, 4931 nt
Filed under: Homo sapiens (human)
Lineage: Eukaryota; Metazoa; Chordata; Mammalia; Primates; Hominidae
Description: non-protein coding lnc-PRKN-10:2
Source: RNAcentral